Long non-coding RNA from Anastrepha ludens (Mexican fruit fly), 1590 nucleotides. RefSeq lists it as uncharacterized. NCBI's taxonomy places the organism in Eukaryota, Metazoa, Arthropoda, Insecta, Diptera, Tephritidae. The record is from RefSeq and is a predicted model, not a curated record. The transcript is spliced from 5 exons.
AAAUACAUUCCACAUGUACUAUGAUCACGACAUCUAAAUGAGUUUGCUGUAUUUUAUAAACACGAUGCAUCUUGUGCCUAAGGAUCGGUUAAGAGUUUAUAAAGUAAUUUUAAAGAUCUCAGGAAGCAUUUUCAGCAGCAUUGCGCAAGUCUGCAAAGGAUCCCGGGACAAAGUAAUAUUUAGUGGAAUUACAGAGCAGACGAAUGCGCAAAAGAACAGCAAUCACUUGCACUAGCAAAAGUAAGAAAGAAAAACAAAAUAAGUGCAGUGACAAAUUCCUAUCACGUGACAGUUAAUUCAAUUCCAGCUUGAUUCAAAAGACGUAGGGCAACGCCUGAAUUGUUUUAAAAUACGAGUAUCACGUGCGUAUCACUUGAUUCCGGAUUCCGCGAAUGUUCUUACUCAUUAUUUAAUUAAAUUAACACUUGAGCACCAAUCAAUACUGUAUGUCUAUACUAAUAGAGUUGAACGUCACUACACAAACGAAUCAAGAUCUAACACGCUUUGCAACAAUAGCUUAAACGACUUGAGGAAUCGAUAUUCACUGCAGAGUCAAAGGCAAUUUUAUCCACCUUUACAAUUUAAAAAGUAAAAAAAGGCAAACACAUUUUCUGCACUUACUCAUUAGCAGCAAUGAAAGCGAUUUGCAGCAGUACACCAAAAUGUCACAAUAAUGGAAAUUUUCGAUUUACUUCCCCAAUUCCAACACAAAUUAAAGAUAAUGUGGGUUCCCAGUUACAGAGAAAUCAAAGGCAAUGUGGCCACAGACGCCACAGCAAAGUUCGCACUACAAGGACCAAUACAGCUACAACAAGCAAUAUCUACUUGUAGAUCAGUCUAUAAUAUACCUAGCAGACCUAUAAUACCUUCUGCUAAAAUAUGAACGAGACGUUAUCAAUAAAACGGUCCGCGGAUGACAUAUGGCAAAAAUAAAUUUCAUUAUUUUGGGUGUUUGUAGUAGCCAAAGGCGUAAAUUCGACAAAAGGAUUUUAAGUAGUACACAAGUUGGAUUUAAAUAAGGAAUUCAAUUGCAAUGACCCCUAAAUUUUCGGUAUAUUAAGCAAAUUUCACCAGGGAGUAUAUUAAUCUUUAUGUACUCGUACAAUAAUGACUAUGCACAGAAUAGCAUAUGUUAAAAAGUCGAAGAAUUUCAAAACGCAAAAAUUCAAAAUUUACUAAAGAGAUUGAAAUAUUGUUUUUAGCUAUACAACUUUCAAAGGUUGCCUAUCACUUUGCAUUAACCAAAUAGAUCUUAUAUGAAACAAAAUGAACAUUUCGUUCCAAUAUAUUAUCAUUUAUUAUAUUUUACUUUACGGCAGAGCAGCGUAGGCGACACAAUUGGUUUAAAAUAGGAGAUGUCCACUGACCUAAAAGAUGCGAACAUUUUAUUUUUUAACCUUCAUUUUGAAAUCUUUCCCGUGUCCAGAAGUGCGAGAAUUAAAAUGAUGUACAGAUUUAUUUGAAAAGGAAGCCAGGUUAAAAUUUAGGCGUUCUUGACAAAAGCGCUUAUACUUGAAAGGUAUUAUUAAACUUUGUUGAAGUAUAUGUAUAAAUAUUUUAUAAAAAAUAUAACUUUUGAUAAUCAAUGAA